AGUAGUUUGAUCCGUGGCUCAGGACGACGCUGGCGGCGUGCCUAACACAUGCAAGUCGAACGGGGGUUUUGCUUCGGUAGAACCCUAGUGGCGAACGGGUGAGUAAUACGUAGGCAACCUACCCCAGAGCGGGGGAUAGCAGUUGGAAACGACUAUUAAUACCGCAUAGGUAAUAGGGAGGCAUCUCCUUAUUAUUAAAGGUGCGUUUGCACCGCUGUGGGAUGGGCUUACGCUGUAUUAGCUAGUUGGUGAGGUAACGGCCCACCAAGGCGAUGAUACAUAGCCGGUCUGAGAGGAUGAACGGCCACAUUGGGACUGAGACACGGCCCAGACUCC
This 336-nucleotide ribosomal RNA is filed under the name uncultured Erysipelotrichaceae bacterium. Its description in RNAcentral is "bacterial SSU rRNA". It matches the Rfam family "Bacterial small subunit ribosomal RNA", at positions 1 to 339 of the family's 1533-position model. The record is from RNAcentral. Lineage: Bacteria; Bacillati; Bacillota; Erysipelotrichia; Erysipelotrichales; Erysipelotrichaceae.